Alligator mississippiensis (American alligator) is the source of this 772-nucleotide long non-coding RNA. RefSeq lists it as uncharacterized. NCBI's taxonomy places the organism in Eukaryota, Metazoa, Chordata, Crocodylia, Alligatoridae. The record is from RefSeq and is a predicted model, not a curated record. The transcript is spliced from 2 exons.
UCUUUAACAGAGGUACGGUACUCACAGGUGGGGCAGGGCAGUCCGUGCGUCCGGGAGCCCUGCAGCUUCCACAGGGAAGUCCAGUUCAUGAUUGCAGACAGCUGGGCCUCUGAAACCCUGUGCUGCAGGGCUAGAGGUCGGGGUGGUCUGUCCCGCUCAUGUUGGCAUGUCCCAGGCAGUCCCGUAGUCUCCCCCCACUGCCUGCUGGCAGGCUUUUGCACUUCAAACAUGCCCAUCCCUGCUGCAGCCAUGGUCAGUGUGCAGCGGGAAGCCUGGUGUGCACUCUGUACCCAUAGCUGCUGUAGGGCGACAGCUCGAGCUAGCCAGAUGGGCAGCAUAUACCCGCGGCCUGGCCUGUCUCGCAUGCAUCUUGUCUUCGAUCUACAGAGGAUGUGCUGUGGUUUAAGCCCGUUGAGCUGAGAACAAAAUGGGGCUGCAGGGGACACAUCGAGGAGCCACUAGGGACCCAUGGCCACAUGAAGUGCCACUUUGAUGGACAGCUGAAGUCCCAGGACAUGGUGCUGAUGAACCUGUACAAACGCGUCUUUCCCAAGUGGACGUAUGACCCGUAUGUGCCAGAGCCGGUGGCGUGGGUGAGAAACGAGGAGCCUGCCCCCGUGCCGGAGGUGGACACGGAGUAGCUCUUCGGAACCCGCGUCCAGGAUUCCCGAGGAGUCUCCUGGGUGCAGGCGUGUGUUAGCGUAGUGCCUUCCCACGCUGCUGCAGCCUCCGUUGUAUCUAUUUCAGUGGCAAAUAUACGGUGCAGCCUACA